RNAcentral lists this ribosomal RNA (253 nucleotides) under uncultured bacterium. Its description in RNAcentral is "partial 16S ribosomal RNA". It matches the Rfam family "Bacterial small subunit ribosomal RNA", at positions 524 to 776 of the family's 1533-position model. The record is from RNAcentral.
UACGUAAGUGGCAAGCGUUGUCCGGAAUCACUGGGCGUAAAGCGCAUGUAGGCGGCUUCAUAAGUCCGGGGUGAAAUCCAGAGGCUUAACCUCUGAACUGCCUUGGAAACUGCGAAGCUAGAGGUACGGAGGGGGAAGUGGAAUUCCAGGUGUAGCGGUGAAAUGCGCAGAUAUCUGGGAGAACACCGGUGGCGAAGGCGGCUUCCUGGCCGUUACCUGACGCUGAGAUGCGAAAGCUAGGGGAGCAAACGGG